RNAcentral lists this long non-coding RNA (429 nucleotides) under Marmota monax (woodchuck). The record is from RNAcentral. Lineage: Eukaryota; Metazoa; Chordata; Mammalia; Rodentia; Sciuridae.
AAAUAAUCCAGCAUAUGUAUAUAUUUUACUUAGUUUUUAUUUUUAAAUAUAGAUGCUCUUAACUAAGUCUAUAUAAUAUUUUUAAAAGUGUAAAAAAAUCCCAAAUUACCAAGAAUGCUGAAAUCAUAUAAAAAAUCCAGUCACCCUUUUAAUAUCCUUUGUAUUUCAGAGACAUAUUUUUAAAAUAAAGGUUGAAGAAUGCAGAAGAGACAGAAUGCAUAUUUUUAAUCAGAGCAAAGAAGAACUACAUGACAUACUUCCAAUGCUAGAGUAUCCCAUACUAGUAUAAAUAUAAUUUGUACUUUCAAGAUAGAUAUUAAGGGUAUGGUGGUACAUACUUGUAGUCCCAGCUGCUCAGGACAGGCUGAGGCAGGAGGAUUCUAAAUUCAAGGCCAGCCUCAAAACUUAGUGAGGCCCUAAGCAACUUAG